CCUCCACGACUGACGAGGAUGCAAGCGUUAUCCGGAAUGAUUGGGCGUAAAGCGUCCGCAGGUGGCAGUUCAAGUCUGCUGUCAAAGACCGGGGCUUAACUUCGGAAAGGCAGUGGAAACUGAACAGCUAGAGUAUGGUAGGGGCAGAGGGAACUCCAUGUGUAGCGGUGAAAUGCGUAGAUAUAUGGAAGAACACCAGUGGCGAAGGCGGCUGUCUGGUCUGUAACUGACGCUGAGGCUCGAAAGCAUGGGUAGCGAACAGGAUUAGAUACCCUGGUAGUCCAUGCCGUAAACGAUGAAUGCUAGGUGUUGGAGGGUUUCCGCCCUUCAGUGCCGCAGCUAACGCAUUAAACAUUCCGCCUGGGGAGUACGACCGCAAGGUUGAAACUCAAAGGAAUUGACGGGGGCCCGCACAAGCGGUGGAGCAUGUGGUUUAAUUCGAAGCGUCGACGCGGCCG
RNAcentral lists this ribosomal RNA (458 nucleotides) under uncultured Lactococcus sp. RNAcentral's name for it is "bacterial SSU rRNA". It matches the Rfam family "Bacterial small subunit ribosomal RNA", at positions 514 to 965 of the family's 1533-position model. Lineage: Bacteria; Bacillati; Bacillota; Bacilli; Lactobacillales; Streptococcaceae. The record is from RNAcentral.